AGCAGCCGCGGUAAUUCCAGCUCCAAUAGCGUAUAUUAAAGUUGUUGCAGUUAAAAGCUCGUAGUUGAAUUUCGGGAUCAAUAUGUUGGUCGUGCCUCGGUACGUACUAGCUUAUUGGUUUCUCCUUUCUGAAGAACCAUGAUGUCAUUUAUUUGGUGUCGUGGGGAAUCAGGACUGUUACUUUGAAAAAUUAGAGUGUUUAAAGCAGGCUCGCGCUUGAAUACAUUAGCAUGGAAUAAUGAAAUAGGACGUUUGAUUCUAUUUUGUUGGUUCUAGGAUCGACGUAAUGAUUAAUAGGGAUAGUUGGGGCAUUAGUAUUCAAUUGUCAGAGGUUGAAAUUCUUGGGAUUUUAUUGAAGACUAACUACUGCGAAAGCAUUUUGCC
Molecule: ribosomal RNA, 384 nt
Filed under: uncultured Glomus
Lineage: Eukaryota; Fungi; Glomeromycota; Glomeromycetes; Glomerales; Glomeraceae
Description: SSU rRNA
Rfam family: Eukaryotic small subunit ribosomal RNA
Source: RNAcentral